RNAcentral lists this ribosomal RNA (489 nucleotides) under uncultured bacterium. Its description in RNAcentral is "partial 16S ribosomal RNA". It matches the Rfam family "Bacterial small subunit ribosomal RNA", at positions 30 to 507 of the family's 1533-position model. The record is from RNAcentral.
UUGAACGCUGGCGGCAGGCUUAACACAUGCAAGUCGCGCGGUAGCACAGGGGAGCUUGCUCCCUGGGUGACGAGCGGCGGACGGGUGAGUAAUGUCUGGGAAACUGCCUGAUGGAGGGGGAUAACUACUGGAAACGGUAGCUAAUACCGCAUAACGUCGCAAGACCAAAGAGGGGGACCUUCGGGCCUCUUGCCAUCAGAUGUGCCCAGAUGGGAUUAGCUAGUAGGUGGGGUAAUGGCUCACCUAGGCGACGAUCCCUAGCUGGUCUGAGAGGAUGACCAGCCACACUGGAACUGAGACACGGUCCAGACUCCUACGGGAGGCAGCAGUGGGGAAUAUUGCACAAUGGGCGCAAGCCUGAUGCAGCCAUGCCGCGUGUGUGAAGAAGGCCUUCGGGUUGUAAAGCACUUUCAGCGAGGAGGAAGGUGGUGAGCUUAAUACGCUCAUCAAUUGACGUUACUCGCAGAAGAAGCACCGGCUAACUCCGUG